UCCUACGGGAGGCAGCAGUGGGGAAUAUUGGACAAUGGACCACAAGUCUGAUCCAGCAAUUCUGUGUGCACGAUGACGUUUUUCGGAAUGUAAAGUGCUUUCAGUCGGGAAGAAGUCAGUGACGGUACCGACAGAAGAAGCGACGGCUAAAUACGUGCCAGCAGCCGCGGUAAUACGUAUGUCGCAAGCGUUAUCCGGAUUUAUUGGGCGUAAAGCGCGUCUAGGCGGCAAGGAAAGUCUGAUGUGAAAAUGCGGAGCUCAACUCCGUAUGGCGUUGGAAACUGCCUUACUAGAGUACUGGAGAGGUAGGCGGAACUACAAAUGUAGAGGUGAAAUUCGUAGAUAUUUGUAGGAAUGCCGAUGGGGAAGCCAGCCUACUGGACAGAUACUGACGCUAAAGCGCGAAAGCGUGGGUAGCAAACAGGAUUAGAUACCCUGGUAGUCC
RNAcentral lists this ribosomal RNA (445 nucleotides) under uncultured bacterium. RNAcentral's name for it is "bacterial SSU rRNA". It matches the Rfam family "Bacterial small subunit ribosomal RNA", at positions 337 to 796 of the family's 1533-position model. The record is from RNAcentral.